GACGUAGGGCGCGAGCGUUGUCCGGAUUUAUUGGGCGUAAAGAGCUCGUAGGCGGCUUGUCGCGUCGACUGUGAAAACUCGGGGCUCAACUCCGAGCUUGCAGUCGAUACGGGCAGGCUAGAGUUCGGUAGGGGAGACUGGAAUUCCUGGUGUAGCGGUGAAAUGCGCAGAUAUCAGGAGGAACACCGGUGGCGAAGGCGGCCUUCUGGACGGAUACUGACGCUGAUGCACGAAAGCGUGGGGAGCAAACAGG
RNAcentral lists this ribosomal RNA (253 nucleotides) under uncultured bacterium. RNAcentral's name for it is "partial 16S ribosomal RNA". It matches the Rfam family "Bacterial small subunit ribosomal RNA", at positions 524 to 776 of the family's 1533-position model. The record is from RNAcentral.